Molecule: ribosomal RNA, 670 nt
Filed under: uncultured bacterium
Lineage: Bacteria
Description: bacterial SSU rRNA
Rfam family: Bacterial small subunit ribosomal RNA
Source: RNAcentral
AGAGUUUGAUCCUGGCUCAGAUUGAACGCUGGCGGCAGGCCUAACACAUGCAAGUCGGGCGGUAGCACAGAGAGCUUGCUCUCGGGUGACGAGCGGCGGACGGGUGAGUAAUGUCUGGGAAACUGCCUGAUGGAGGGGGAUAACUACUGGAAACGGUAGCUAAUACCGCAUAACGUCGCAAGACCAAAGUGGGGGACCUUCGGGCCUCAUGCCAUCAGAUGUGCCCUGAUGGGAUUAGCUAGUAGGUGGGGUAAUGGCUCACCUAGGCGACGAUCCCUAGCUGGUCUGAGAGGAUGACCAGCCACACUGGAACUGAGACACGGUCCAGACUCCUACGGGAGGCAGCAGUGGGGAAUAUUGCACAAUGGGCGCAAGCCUGAUGCAGCCAUGCCGCGUGUAUGAAGAAGGCCUUUGGGUUGUAAAGUACUUUCAGCGAGGAGGAAGGCGUUAAGGUUAAUAACCUUAGCGAUUGACGUUACUCGCAGAAGAAGCACCGGCUAACUCCGUGCCAGCAGCCGCGGUAAUACGGAGGGUGCAAGCGUUAAUCGGAAUUACUGGGCGUAAAGCGCACGCAGGCGGUCUGUUAAGUCAGAUGUGAAAUCCCCGGGCUCAACCUGGGAACUGCAUUUGAAACUGGCAGGCUUGAGUCCUGUAGAGGGGGGUAGAAUUC